This 675-nucleotide long non-coding RNA is filed under the name Physcomitrium patens. RNAcentral describes it as "long non-coding RNA (PPAT_LNC005183)". Lineage: Eukaryota; Viridiplantae; Streptophyta; Bryopsida; Funariales; Funariaceae. The record is from RNAcentral.
UUCCCUAUCUUUUUCUCAACUGAUUUAUUUUCCUAGAUGCAAUGCUCUCAUUCUUAUUAACCAUAAUCUUGCUUCAAACACUAUUGAAAUCGUCUUCCAUUACCAAUUUUCUUACAUGUUUGGUAAUUAAUUCCUAACACUCAAAGCAAUUAUCACUCUCCAAUAGCGACGCCAAAAUGUGAUUGCUCGUUUUAUUUAUUCCAAAUUAAUCUAAUGGAAAUAAAUCCGUAUAGGGGGAUUCAAACAUAGGAAAUUACUAGUUGCUUAAGCAUUCACGUUAAGGUCAUACAAUCAAUUAUCUCCUGAAUAUAUCGUCUCUAUUUCCAAUAUCUGAACACACAUAGAAACUAUAAUCUCCUCCUUCACCUUAUCGAUCUCUUCCUUAUAGCAAUUUAGUCAUACCAAUAACUGCUAUUUCUACCAAUAUAUUCACUCUCAUAAUCUCUAAUUGUAAUACUAUGCCCUCACAGCUUUUUACACACAAUUAUCCUCAUUCCAAUCACUAUAAUUCUUCACACAGAACUGCCAUUCACAUUACUGUGUUUCACACAAACACAGACUCAUUCUCUCUGCUAAACUACAAUCAAAUUUUACCAUUCAAUUUCUUCUUCUCAAAUAAUACCAAUCACAUUUCUAUUCCAAAAUUCACUUUACAAUAUUCAGAAACUCUCAAUC